This 480-nucleotide ribosomal RNA is filed under the name Pseudoterranova decipiens (codworm). RNAcentral describes it as "partial 23S ribosomal RNA". The record is from RNAcentral. Lineage: Eukaryota; Metazoa; Nematoda; Chromadorea; Rhabditida; Anisakidae.
UCAAAUGUUUUUUAAAGACUUAGGUUUCUUUAUGAAAUUGGCCCCUGCUCUAUGUUUUUAUAAAUGGCAGUCUUAGCGUGAGGACAUUAAGGUAGCAAAAUAAUUUGUGCUUUUAAUGGGUUCGAGUAUGAAUGGGGUUAUUGGUUAAUUUUUUACUUUAUUUUGAAUGAACUAAAUUUUUAUUUAAAAAGGUAAUAUGUAUAAUUAAACAAAGAUAAGUCUUCGGAAAUUUUUUUAUUAUCUUUUCUUUUGUGGAGGUAAUAUGUUUUCUAGGGUAGGAUAUUGUGUAAUUUUUUUUACUAUUUAUAUUUAAAAAAAUUACUUCGGAGUUAACAGAAAAUCAUGUCGUAACCAGAUUCGUAUGGUAGUGAUAAGUUUUACAUCGAUGUUGUAUUCCAAUUGUGCAAGAGAGGAGAAGGCUUGUUUUUUAAGACUGUUCUUCUAUUAAUUAAAUUGGACGUGAUAUUAGUUUAAUUCAUC